GGAUUCCCCUAGUAACGGCGAGUGAAGCGGGAAGAGCUCAAGCUUAAAAUCUCCGUGCAAGUUUUGUGCGGCGAAUUGUAGUCUAUAGAAGCGUGGUCAGCAUGGGCACUUGGGGCAAGUUCCUUGGAAGAGGACAGCAUGGAGGGUGAUACUCCCGUUCAUUUCUGAGUUGCUCGUGCGUACGACCCGUUUUCUUUGAGUCGCGUUGUUUGGGAAUGCAGCGCAAAGUAGGUGGUAAAUUCCAUCUAAAGCUAAAUAUUGGUGCGAGACCGAUAGCGAACAAGUACCGUGAGGGAAAGAUGAAAAGAACUUUGAAAAGAGAGUUAAAGAGUACCUGAAACUGCUGAAAGGGAACCGAAUCGUUUCCAGUGUCUAUAAUCCGUGGUAUAUUUCAUUGGCGAGUGUGUGCGUGCGUGUGCUGUGGCAGCGGCUUUUUUGGCUGCGCUCGGCGUGUGUGCUGUGUGUGCUUGCUGGUGCUCUGUGCUGCGGUGGGACGUCAAGGUCAGUUCGUAUGCUGCGGGAAAUGGCUGCCGAGGAGGUAGGGCUUACGCUUGCGUUUGUCUGUUAUAUCUUGGUGGACGAGUAGUCGCGGUUGGGACUGAGGUGCCUACAACGUGCUUUUGAGUGGGUUUGUGUCUCCGUGUGCGCCGUGUGCGGAUAGCUUGCUAUGCGUGUGUGGUUGUGUGUGGAUUGAUGCGAGCUUUAACUUGUUGCCGUUCGGGACGUUGACGAAAUGGAGCGAUUCGACCCGUCUUGAAACACGGACCAAGGAGUCUAACAUGUGUGCAAGUGUUAGGGUGUGGAAACCCCAGCGCGAAAUGAAAGUGAAGGGCAGCGUAAGUUGUCUGAGGUAGGAAAUGCUGCGGGCUUCGGUCUGCGGUGUGGCACUAUCGACCGAUCAUGAACCUUCGUGGUGAAAGAUUUGAGUUUGAGCACAUAUGUUGGUACCCGAAAGAUGGUGAACUAUGCCUGAGUAGGGUGAAGCCAGGGGAAACUCUGGUGGAAGCUCGUAGCGAUUCUGACGUGCAAAUCGAUCGUCAAACUUGGGUAUAGGGGCGAAAGACUAAUCGAACCAUCUAGUAGCUGGUUCCCUCCGAAAUUUCCCUCAGGAUAGCAGCAACUUAUUUACGAUAGUUUUAUGAGGUAAAGCGAAUGAUUAGAGGAUUCGGGGAAGAAACUUCCUCGACCUAUUCUCAAACUUUAAAUCUGUAAGACCUGCAGGUUUCUUAAUUGAACUUGUGGAUG
The sequence is a ribosomal RNA, 1245 nucleotides long. It matches the Rfam family "Eukaryotic large subunit ribosomal RNA", at positions 72 to 1109 of the family's 3401-position model.